RNAcentral lists this ribosomal RNA (508 nucleotides) under uncultured bacterium. RNAcentral's name for it is "bacterial SSU rRNA". It matches the Rfam family "Bacterial small subunit ribosomal RNA", at positions 791 to 1300 of the family's 1533-position model. The record is from RNAcentral.
UAGUCCACGCCGUAAACGAUGAUUACUCGGUAUUGGCGAUACACUGUCAGUGCCCAAGCGAAAGCGUUAAGUAAUCCACCUGGGGAGUACGUUCGCAAGAAUGAAACUCAAAGGAAUUGACGGGGGUCCGCACAAGCGGGGGAGCAUGUGGUUUAAUUCGAUGAUACGCGAGGAACCUUACCUGGGCUAGAAUGCUUUUGGACAGAUGCCGAAAGGUGUUUUUCUCUUCGGAGACCGAUUGCAAGGUGCUGCAUGGUUGUCGUCAGCUCGUGCCGUGAGGUGUUGGGUUAAGUCCCGCAACGAGCGCAACCCCUAUCCUUAGUUGCCAGCGAGUAAUGUCGGGGACUCUAGGGAAACUGCCUACGCAAGUAGUGAGGAAGGCGGGGAUGACGUCAAAUCAUCAUGGCCCUUACGCCCAGGGCUACACACAUGCUACAAUGGUUGAUACAGAGGGUAGCGACAUAGCGAUAUGAAGCCAAUCUCAAAAAGUCAAUCUCAGUUCGGAUUG